GCAUUUGCUGCUGGGAAACUUGUCUUUGUUGUUUUCCUUUUUCCAUUUCAUCCUCCUGUUCUGGAACCAGAUUUUGACCUGCCUUUCUGUCAAUCCCAGGGCAUGCGAGACCUCGAUCCUCCGUUUGCGGGUCAGCCCCCGCCCGCUCCUCCCCCGCCGAGGACUGCUUCGAAUGUGGUUGGGGAUGAUGGCGAGCGCAAAGUGUGGUGUCCCUUAUCGCACCCCGAACACAACCGGUACUCUCGGUUCCUGCCGCUUCCCACCGCACCCGUCCGCGCGGUUUUGACACCAGAAAGGUGAAUUAAAGGCGGUUUCACUCGUCCCUGCCUUCCACCGAGGGAUGAUUUUCAACCUCCACAACGUGGAAAAGAGGAAAAAGUUGGAAUGUUUCGGUUUUUUCUGUCUUGUCAAGGCUUGGGUAAAAAAAAAUAUUAAAAAAAUUGCAUUAGAAUUGGCAGUGGGAAUAGGCAGGGAAUUAAGGAAGGCAGGAAGGGAAAGAGAGAGGGAAAGAAAGAAAACAAAGAUAGUAACGGAAUAAAACUUUAAAAACGUCCUUAGAGAAAUAAUUUAAGUAAAUACGUUUCCUUUAUUUUGUACAGGGAUAAUUUCAGCCGAGUCUAAGAGCCUUUUCAAGUAAUUAUUGUUGUUGGAGUACUUGCAGUGGUAUAAUUAAGGCUUUCCCCCCCCUAAAAGACAAGUUAACAUUUUAUUUUUCUCAACACUUUUAUUGUCGAUUAAGCAGAUUUUGGUUUCAUCUUUGACCAUAAAACCCCAGAAAUGGCGCACAGAAGUAAAUAGAGCUUUGCAGCCUGGAUUGGGGGUGCUCGGCGCUGGAAUUUUCAAGAAAGCAACAACAAAAAAAUUUAAAUAGACUAAAGUGUCUUUAGAAAAGAAGCUUUCGUCUUCUUUGUGUAUUUGCAGGCGUGCUCCCAUCUAUCCAAGCUUUUAAACAGAAAAAUAGCAGGAAUUCCCGUUCCUACGUGGACCCUAAGAAGGUGAGAGUGAAGUUGUUAUUGGAAGUUAACAUUUUUAUCAAGUGCAGUAGGAUUUUAUGGUCAUGACGUGCUGGUAACUCACCGAUGCA
Cuculus canorus (common cuckoo) is the source of this 1084-nucleotide long non-coding RNA. RefSeq lists it as uncharacterized. The transcript is spliced from 3 exons. Lineage: Eukaryota; Metazoa; Chordata; Aves; Cuculiformes; Cuculidae. The record is from RefSeq and is a predicted model, not a curated record.